This 116-nucleotide ribosomal RNA is filed under the name Caldisericaceae bacterium. Lineage: Bacteria; Pseudomonadati; Caldisericota; Caldisericia; Caldisericales; Caldisericaceae. RNAcentral also lists the same sequence under 1 other name. The record is from RNAcentral.
CUCGGUGGCCAUGGCGGAGGGGAUCACCCGUUCCCAUUCCGAACACGGAAGUUAAGCCCUCCAGCGCCGAUGGUACUGCCCGGGGGACCGGGUGGGAGAGUAGGUCGCCGCCGGAA